This 806-nucleotide long non-coding RNA is filed under the name Malus domestica (apple). RNAcentral's name for it is "long non-coding RNA (MDOM_LNC002820)". Lineage: Eukaryota; Viridiplantae; Streptophyta; Magnoliopsida; Rosales; Rosaceae. The record is from RNAcentral.
AUUAUUAAUAUAAAAUAAAAAAUGCCCGAAAACAAAAUUUGAUAGGUCAAAUUUCUUUGUGUCCUUGUUUAACCAACGAAAUAGUUUGCUACGCAUGGUCUUACCCAACAAAGACCUAUCGUUGUCGGAAACUCAACGCGAUGAAACUCUAUUGUAACCUAAACUUGACGGGGUGAUAGACUUCGUCCCUUGAACUUUGGUGCGACGAACGUCUAUGUUGCAAUUCUUCAUUGUGCAAAAACUCUUGGUUGCACUUUGUUGGUUGUGUGUUGAUAUUUUUUGUCUUUGUUGCACAAUUGUUUACUUCUCAACCUUCGUUGCCCAAAUUUUGAUGCGAUGAAACUUUGCUUUAUGUGACAAAAUUGUUUUCCUUGCGAAAACUGUUUUUUUUUUUUUUUUAUAGUAGUAGUGGCUCAUCGGAUUCACAUAAUAAUUUUUAGCAAGGAGAAAAAAAAAAGAAGGAGUUUUUAAAGGCUCCUAGCUUUAAUUACAACUUUUAAACAACUUUUUAAAUAAAAAAAACUCUAUUUCUAUUGGUUCUUAUUUAUUAUGACUCCCUAAAUUAAAUGGUAUGGUUGGAGAAUAAAUGUUUUAGGGAGCUAUUAAAAUAGCUUUCUACCCUUUUGUUUUUUAAACAAACAAUAUUAUCUACACUAAGGAGGAGUGGGGGAUUGAGCUAACUCUCACAAUAUUAUCUACAAUAAUAUAGUUCAAAUUCGUCUUUGGAGUGAAUCGAACCUAAGACCUCUCGCUUACAACUGAAGAGGAAUAUCACUAAACCGUAGUACUAAGUGAUACCCCUUUUU